RNAcentral lists this ribosomal RNA (253 nucleotides) under uncultured bacterium. RNAcentral's name for it is "partial 16S ribosomal RNA". It matches the Rfam family "Bacterial small subunit ribosomal RNA", at positions 524 to 776 of the family's 1533-position model. The record is from RNAcentral.
UACAGAGGUCCCAAGCGUUGUUCGGAUUUACUGGGCGUAAAGGGUGCGUAGGCGGCAAAAAAAGUCUGAUGUGAAAUCUCGGAGCCUAACUCCGAAACUGCAUUGGAAACUUUUAUGCUCGAGGGAUGGAGGGGAGACUGGAAUUCUCGGUGUAGCAGUGAAAUGCGUAGAUAUCGAGAGGAACACCAGUGGCGAAGGCGAGUCUCUGGACAUUUCCUGACGCUGAGGCACGAAAGCCAAGGGAGCAAACGGG